This 482-nucleotide ribosomal RNA is filed under the name uncultured bacterium. RNAcentral's name for it is "partial 16S ribosomal RNA". It matches the Rfam family "Bacterial small subunit ribosomal RNA", at positions 28 to 507 of the family's 1533-position model. The record is from RNAcentral.
GACGAACGCUGGCGGCGUGCUUAACGCAUGCAAGUCGAACGAUGAAGAAGAGAAACGCGAACUUCGGUUCAAAUUUCACUUCGGAUUAGUGGCAGACGGGUGAGUAACGCGUGAGCAACCUACCUCUUACAAAGGGAUAGCCUCGGGAAACCGUGAUUAAUACCAUAUGACACAUUCAUAAGGCAUCUUAAGAAUGUUAAAGCUACGGCGGUAAGAGAUGGGCUCGCGUCCCAUUAGCUAGUUGGUGAGGUAACGGCCCACCAAGGCGACGAUGGGUAACCGGCCUGAGAGGGUGAACGGUCACAUUGGAACUGAGACACAGUCCAAACUCCUACGGGAGGCAGCAGUGGGGAAUAUUGCACAAUGGAGGGAACUCUGAUGCAGCGACGCCGCGUGAGCGAUGAAGGAAUUCGUUUCGUAAAGCUCUGUUCUAUGGGAAGAAAAGGACUGUACCAUAGGAGAAAGCCCCGGCUAAAUACGUG